This 474-nucleotide ribosomal RNA is filed under the name uncultured bacterium. Its description in RNAcentral is "SSU rRNA". It matches the Rfam family "Bacterial small subunit ribosomal RNA", at positions 26 to 518 of the family's 1533-position model. The record is from RNAcentral.
AGGACGAACGCUGGCGGCGCGCUUAACACAUGCAAGUCGAACGUGAAGCCCGGGCUUGCCUGGGUGGAAAGUGGCGAACGGGUGCGUAACACGUGAGCAACCUGCCCCGAAGACCGGGAUAACGCCGGGAAACCGGUGCUAAUACCGGAUGCCCUCAUCACACGGCAUCGUGAGAUGAGGAAAUGGAUUCCGCUUCGGGAUGGGCUCGCGGUCUAUCAGCUUGUUGGUGGGGUAACGGCUCACCAAGGCUACGACGGAUAGCUGGUCUGAGAGGAUGUCCAGCCACACUGGGACUGAGACACGGCCCAGACUCCUACGGGAGGCAGCAGUGGGGAAUCUUGCACAAUGGGCGAAAGCCUGAUGCAGCGACGCCGCGUGCGGGAUGACGGCCUUCGGGUUGUAAACCGCUUUCAGCAGGGACGAUAAUGACGGUACCUGCAGAAGAAGCCCGGCCAACUACGUGCCAGCAGCCGC